RNAcentral lists this ribosomal RNA (441 nucleotides) under uncultured bacterium. Its description in RNAcentral is "partial 16S ribosomal RNA". It matches the Rfam family "Bacterial small subunit ribosomal RNA", at positions 338 to 795 of the family's 1533-position model. The record is from RNAcentral.
CCUACGGUGGGCAGCAGUGGGGAAUAUUGCACAAUGGGGGGAACCCUGAUGCAGCGACGCCGCGUGGGUGAAGGAGUAUUUCGGUAUGUAGCACCCUAUCAGCAGGGAAGAACAAUGACGGUACCUGACUAAGAAGCACCGGCUAAAUACGUGCCAGCAGCCGCGGUAAUACGUAUGGUGCAAGCGUUAUCCGGAUUUACUGGGUGUAAAGGGAGAGCAGUAGGCGCGUUAAGCCUGGUGUGAAAGCCCUCGGCCCAACCGCGGGACUGCAUGGGAAACUGGCGCGCUUGAGUGCAGGAGGGGUAGGCGGAAUUCCUAGUGUAGCGGUGAAAUGCGUAGAUAUUAGGAGGAACACCAGUGGCGAAGGCGGCCUACUGGACGGUGACUGACGCUGAGGCUCGAAAGCGUGGGGAGCAAACAGGAUUAGAUACCCCUGUAGUC